GCCUCCCCAUACCAAGGAAGAGGAGAACCUGUGGACCCAUCAGGAGGGAGAAGAGCUUCAAGGGCUAGAGGAGGCUGAUAUCACUAAGUUCCCAUCCAUUCCACCUCGUGUGAAGAGUGAAUAUGGUGAAGACAAAGCUCAGUCCUCACAGCUUCAUCAAAGUCAAACUGAGGAGACAACAGAGGAACCAGAAGACAGAGAUGACUAUGGAGAAUCAGAACCAGACAGCAUCCAAAAUAAUGACUUCCCUAUAUGUGAUGUGGCAUGUAAAACAACAUAUCAUCAAUGCACUGAGGAUGAUAAAACAUGUAAGUUUUGCUCAGUGUUGGACACACAGAUGACAGCCCACACAACAAAGAAGCCUUUCAGCUAUUCAGUUUGUAUGAAACAUUUUGCAUAUAAACAUAAUCUUAAAAGACAUCAUAAUGAUUUCUGAUAUUGUUUUGUAUUCUGCAAGUUUUUUUUGUUUUCUCAAAAAGUGCAUUUUCAGAUACGUGGGUUUCAUCUUCAGCCAUGGUGUCAUUUUACUGAUUUUUAAUUCAGUGUUUUUAAAGCCUCACCUUUACUUAUUCAUUCAUUUACAUGUACCUUUUUCUAAAAUAAUGUUAACCACAAAGUCUCCUAUAUGUGAUGCUCUGUUUAAGAUAUACUAUUACUUUUCAGUGUGUGUGCUUGGCCUUUGCAUUAUCACCUAAUGAUGUCUCCGCAUUCCAUUAGGAUCACUUUCAACACCAAAAAUAAGUAAAUAAACCUUGAUGCAACCUCGA
Sphaeramia orbicularis (orbiculate cardinalfish) is the source of this 767-nucleotide long non-coding RNA. RefSeq lists it as uncharacterized. The record is from RefSeq and is a predicted model, not a curated record. Lineage: Eukaryota; Metazoa; Chordata; Actinopteri; Kurtiformes; Apogonidae. The transcript has 2 exons.